This 460-nucleotide ribosomal RNA is filed under the name uncultured bacterium. RNAcentral describes it as "partial 16S ribosomal RNA". It matches the Rfam family "Bacterial small subunit ribosomal RNA", at positions 338 to 795 of the family's 1533-position model. The record is from RNAcentral.
CCUACGGGGUGCAGCAGUGAGGAAUAUUGGUCAAUGGACGCAAGUCUGAACCAGCCAUGCCGCGUGCAGGAAGACGGCUCUAUGAGUUGUACACUGCUUUUGUACGAGGGUAAACGCAGAUACGCGUAUCUGUCUGAAAGUAUCGUACGAAUAAGGAUCGGCUAACUCCGUGCCAGCAGCCGCGGUAAUACGGAGGAUUCAAGCGUUAUCCGGAUUUAUUGGGUUUAAAGGGUGCGUAGGCGGGCGGAUAAGUUAGAUGUGAAAUCCCGAGGCUCAACUUCGGAAUUGCCUCUGAUACUGUUCGGCUAGAGAGUAGUUGCGGUAGGCGGAAUGUAUGGUGUAGCGGUGAAAUGCUUAGAGAUCAUACAGAACACCGAUUGCGAAGGCAGCUUACCAAGCUACUUCUGACGUUGAGGCACGAAAGCGUGGGGAGCAAACAGGAUUAGAUACCCUUGUAGUC